This is a long non-coding RNA of Cydia splendana, 624 nucleotides long. RefSeq lists it as uncharacterized. NCBI's taxonomy places the organism in Eukaryota, Metazoa, Arthropoda, Insecta, Lepidoptera, Tortricidae. The transcript has 2 exons. The record is from RefSeq and is a predicted model, not a curated record.
CACGCCAAAUACGACUGACUUUCACGGCUUGACUCAUUAUUAACAAUGGCGUACCUAAAUUAAAAAUAGUAAUUUUUAAUUUAAGUCUAAAAUGUAAAUAAAUUUAUAUUUUUUAGUCUUCUUUAUUGGUUUUACGCUAGGUUAACGCGAUUAGAUGAAUUACUAGCCCCGAGGCUCCCGGUCGCACCCUAGCCUUAUAUAUUUAUUUAUGAUCAGUGUCAAUAGCAUACAUGCAGUAAACAUUUUCCUUAAGAGCCCAUCAACGUGCACACUUUGAUUGAAUACAUCAAACUAGUUUUUAUGUUGCUGGAUAAUCCAAAGCAAGCAACAUAAAAACUAGUUUGAUGUAUUCAAACGGUACAUAGAUACAAAAUACAGUACGUAGCGGCCCCCUUUUUUAAAUAUCUUUCGUUAAAUUUAAAUAAUCACGAAUAUUUAGCAAUGGCGCUAGUGUGCACGUUGAUGGGCUCUUAAAAUCUUCCUAUAAUUGUAACAGACUGGAUCCGGGGGUGCUUGCUGGAUUACAUGCCGUAAAUAAAUGUUAUUUAUCGGCAAAACUAGUCUUAUUUCUCUAGAAUUAUGUACAAAUCAAAAAGCAUUAAGUAUAUUUAUUUCAAGUACAUA